RNAcentral lists this small RNA (307 nucleotides) under Pan troglodytes (chimpanzee). RNAcentral's name for it is "processed transcript". The record is from RNAcentral. Lineage: Eukaryota; Metazoa; Chordata; Mammalia; Primates; Hominidae.
CCAACGGGGACCAACACGCAGCAGCCGCUGCCGCCGCCGCGGGAGCCGCUGCCCGAACUCCCGGCCCGAACUCCAGCUGUGCUGAGAUCUGUUUUACAUACCGUAAAGCUCACCCAUUUGAAGUGUAUGGUUCAGUGGGUCUUAGUAUACUAUCUUCACAGAACAUUUUCAUCACUCCGAAAAGAAGAAACCCUGAACCUGCCAUGAACAGCCACUUGCCCUUCCUCCUCCCAGCCCCGGGCAACUGUGAAUCCACUUUCUGCCUCUGUGGAUUUGCCUGUUUUGAACCUUUCAUAUAAACAGAAUC